Molecule: RNA transcript, 627 nt
Organism: Nannospalax galili (Upper Galilee mountains blind mole rat)
Lineage: Eukaryota; Metazoa; Chordata; Mammalia; Rodentia; Spalacidae
Gene name: COMM domain-containing protein 4 pseudogene
Exons: 1
Source: RefSeq, a predicted model, not a curated record
AUGCUAAAAGCUCCCCUCCCCCCCCGACUGUCCUGUAUUCUAUCUCCUGGAACAGUGAGGCUCCAGUUCUGUGGUGAUCUGGACUGUCCUGGCUGGAUUCUGGCAGAGAUCAGCACACUGGCCAAGAUUUCCUCUGUGAAGCCGAGGGUGGUGUGUAGCCAGGUGCUAAAGGAGCUCCUGGGGCAGGGGACUGAUUAUGGGAAGAUUUUGAAGCUCACUGCUGAUGCCAAGUUUGAGUCUGGAGAGGUGAAGGCCAUGGUCGCAGUGCUGAGUUUCAUCGUCUCCAGUGCAGCUAAGCAUAGGGUGGAUGGUGAGUCCUUGUCCAGUGAGCUGCAAUAGCUGGGGCUGCCUAGAGAGCAGCCACCAUCAGCCUGUGUCGCUGUUAUAAGGAGACGCAGAGGGCCUACAAGAGUGCCUGCUGGCCAGCCCGUUCACACUCAGGACUACACCCUGUGCUCCAGCCUGCUGCACUCCAUGGAGAAGCCCAUGGUGCACUUGUGUCUGGAGGUGGUGCCAGCCCUGGGUGCACCGGCCCAGCCAGUCUCCGUGUCCCUCUCAGCAGAGAAGUUCCGGGUUCUCCUGGCAGACCUGAAAUGGGCCCAGACCCUGAUGAGUUCCUUGGGCUGA